GCCUGGGUGGCUCAGUUGUUUGAGCAUCUGACUUUUGAUUUCAGCUCAGGUCAUGAUCUUGGGGUCGUGGGAUUGAGCCCCACUUGGGGCA
RNAcentral lists this transfer RNA (91 nucleotides) under Ailuropoda melanoleuca (giant panda). It matches the Rfam family "tRNA". Rfam says of the family: Transfer RNA (tRNA) molecules are approximately 80 nucleotides in length. Their secondary structure includes four short double-helical elements and three loops (D, anti-codon, and T loops). Further hydrogen bonds mediate the characteristic L-shaped molecular structure. tRNAs have two regions of fundamental functional importance: the anti-codon, which is responsible for specific mRNA codon recognition, and the 3' end, to which the tRNAs corresponding amino acid is attached (by aminoacyl-tRNA synthetases). tRNAs cope with the degeneracy of the genetic code in two manners: having more than one tRNA (with a specific anti-codon) for a particular amino acid; and 'wobble' base-pairing, i.e. permitting non-standard base-pairing at the 3rd anti-codon position. Lineage: Eukaryota; Metazoa; Chordata; Mammalia; Carnivora; Ursidae. The record is from Rfam by way of RNAcentral.